Molecule: ribosomal RNA, 301 nt
Filed under: uncultured bacterium
Lineage: Bacteria
Description: partial 16S ribosomal RNA
Rfam family: Bacterial small subunit ribosomal RNA
Source: RNAcentral
CAGUAGCCGCGGGAAUACAGAGGGUGCGAGCGUUAAUCGGAUUUACUGGGCGUAAAGCGUGCGUAGGCGGCUUCUUAAGUCGGAUGUGAAAUCCCUGAGCUUAACUUAGGAAUUGCAUUCGAUACUGGGAAGCUAGAGUAUGGGAGAGGAUGGUAGAAUUCCAGGUGUAGCGGUGAAAUGCGUAGAGAUCUUGAGGAAUACCGAUGGCGAAGGCAGCCAUCUGGCCUAAUACUGACGCUGAGGUACGAAAGCAUGGGGAGCAAACAGGAUUAGAUACCCCUGUAGUCCCUGUCUCUUAUAC